CCAAACAUCGUCAGAGGAACAGAAAAAUUCUAGUCCUUCCUUUGCACCAGAAGUUACCAAUGUGUGAUGCAACUGAAGGUGCCCAGGAAGGCCCAGUCCAGAAGCCAGGUAGUGGACAACAGGGAGCAUCUCCAUCCACUAAAAUGGAAACCUCAAAACAGUACAAAGCUGGUAAGUAGUCUGGAGUUCUUUUUUAAUGCAUUUUUAAAAUUAUUGUAAAGGUUAU
Long non-coding RNA from Perognathus longimembris pacificus (Pacific pocket mouse), 226 nucleotides. RefSeq lists it as uncharacterized. The transcript has 3 exons. NCBI's taxonomy places the organism in Eukaryota, Metazoa, Chordata, Mammalia, Rodentia, Heteromyidae. The record is from RefSeq and is a predicted model, not a curated record.